RNAcentral lists this long non-coding RNA (811 nucleotides) under Heterocephalus glaber (naked mole-rat). RNAcentral describes it as "lncRNA (ENSHGLG00000049447.1)". Lineage: Eukaryota; Metazoa; Chordata; Mammalia; Rodentia; Bathyergidae. The record is from RNAcentral.
CAAAAAACAAGCAGAAAAAAGUAUGCAGGUUUGAGAUAAGAGAUUACGGCGUGCAAUGCUGGCUGGGGUAGUAGGCAUGACCUGUUAAUUACAAGAUCCCAGACACAUGCACAGAAGAGUUCCCAGAGCCCUGCAUGUGGACUUCUCGUGAGAAUUUGAGCAGAUUUUCAGUAGGCAGUCUAGAUCUGAUGUCACCCUGAGGAGACCUGGGAGCCCAGCAUUGCCUCUUAGGAUCCAUAUGUAGUUCUCGAGGUUUUCCUUGAAAUUUGGACAAUAUAAAGGAUAUGCAGCACUGCGCCUGCCUGGCAAGCAUAAGGUCCUGAGUUCAAGUCCUAGUACCCACACAGAUGCUGUGAAGAGUACUCUAUGUUCCCAGACACAGCAUGUUCUUUUAGUUUUGCUUUUACCUUCUUUUUCUCUUCACUCAGCCCAAACUCACUCCGCAGAGUUUCUCCCCAACUCUUCACUUCUUUUUUAACUCUUCGCUUUUACUUUCUGCAGUAAAUUUGGCCAUUGCUUUUUGCUCAUUUUGUUCAAGUCUUUGUUUGAGACAAGAAGAACCUGGAAUCUAACUCCAGACGGAGAGGCAAGCAACCCAGAACCCAGUAACAUUUAGUUGGCGAGCCACUUUUAGAAGCAAGCUACCGGAUAACAGGUUUGCUGACUCCCGUCACGGAAAAAGAACUUUCAGGACUUAAUUCAUUCUUUGGUUUUGGAGAACUUGAACUUGGCGUAUGAGACAUCUAACAGGCAGGCAGAGGAACCACUGAGCUAAAUCCCCAGCCCUGCAAGUAAAAGUUAAUGAGCAGAC